Molecule: ribosomal RNA, 253 nt
Filed under: uncultured bacterium
Lineage: Bacteria
Description: partial 16S ribosomal RNA
Rfam family: Bacterial small subunit ribosomal RNA
Source: RNAcentral
UACGUAGGCAGCAAGCGUUGUUCGGAGUUACUGGGCGUAAAGGGUGUGUAGGCGGUUUUUUAAGUUUGGUGCGAAAUCUCCCGGCUCAACUGGGAGGGUGCGCCGAAUACUGAAAGACUAGAGUGCGGGAGAGGAAAGUGGAAUUCCUGGUGUAGCGGUGAAAUGCGUAGAUAUCAGGAGGAACACCGGUGGUGUAGACGGCUUUCUGGACCGUAACUGACGCUGAGACACGAAAGCGUGGGUAGCAAACAGG